UAGGGAAUAUUGCAAAAUGGGCGAAGCCCGGUGCAGCAACGCCGCGUGGGCGAUGAAGGCCUUCGGGUCGUAAAGCCCUUUUUGAGGGGAUGAGGAAGGACAGUACCCUCAGAAUAAGCCUCGGCUAACUACGUGCCAGCAGCCGCGGUAAAACGUAGGAGGCGAGCGUUAUCCGGAUUUACUGGGCGUAAAGCGCGUGCAGGCGGAUUGGAGAGUUGGAUGUGAAAGCUCCCGGCUUAACUGGGAGAGGUCGUUCAAUACUCCCAGUCUUGAGUGCAGUAGAGGGAAGUGGAAUUCCGGGUGUAGUGGUGAAAUGCGUAGAUAUCCGGAGGAACACCAGUGGCGAAAGCGGCUUCCUGGACUGUAACUGACGCUCAGACGCGAAAGCUAGGGUAGCAAACG
This 402-nucleotide ribosomal RNA is filed under the name uncultured bacterium. RNAcentral's name for it is "bacterial SSU rRNA". It matches the Rfam family "Bacterial small subunit ribosomal RNA", at positions 355 to 774 of the family's 1533-position model. The record is from RNAcentral.